CUGUUGUAAAAAGGAUUGAGUUCUUGAUUGAUUCCCAGCUUGGUCAUUGGUGUAUAGCAGUGCUACUGAUUUGUUUACAUUCAUUUUGUAACCUGAGACUUUACUGAAUUCGUGUAUCAGAUCUAGGAGCCUUUUGGUUCUUCAUCGGGUAAUUGAGCUGAUAUCAGGUGUCUGAAGGAGGCAAGUUUUGAAGAUGUGGGUCAUGAUGGCUGCUGAAGCUUCCACUCCAUAUUUGAAGGUCAGCAGUUCUCAGGAAACCUCUAGCACUUCCAUCCCUGGUGGGAUGUGAUGCCUGUCUCAGUGUAACAUCAGAGAAGGGGUGUACUCUGUGCCCUAGAACUAGGAGCUAACAGAGAAAAACCAAAUGUGAUGUGGAGUCUGCUAGACAGGCUACUGGAGCAAGAGUGAAGCGAUGAAAGUCUCAUCAUUGGGACAUAUUAGUGUGACAUGCAUAAAGGAAUUUCUUAUUGAGCCCCAGGAAGAAGAAACACUACAUAAGAGCAAAUAAUAAAAUCGGUCAGAUAGACAGAAGAUGGGAGUCAUCAAACCUGUAUCCCUCUUGCCAGACCUAUCAACUGACCAUACGUCAUUCAGGAGGCAGCAGGUGGCUGAAAUCCUGGUGUGAUGUGGCUGGAUCAUGCAUGAUCUGAGGACUCCUGCACAGGUGACUGCAGGAUGAGUACAGAAUUUUUCUAUAAAUAUACUAAAAUACCAAGUAAGCCAGGAGCAGCCACUAGGCAAACACCAAACCUUGCAUUCCUGGCCAAACCUAUCACAGAGCUCAUCAGAUGCAGUGGAUCCCCAGGUUGCAAGUCAUAUAACCUGAGCAUGCCCAGAUGAACCAAGUAUGCCUGAUUGGUGAACCUGGAACUGGCCAGAACAGAAAAUGUCAACCACAUGUGGAAUCUAAGUAUUCAGAUUGAGAAAUGAGGACCAAAAUGAGAACACUGAGCUCCUCACACAGGUGACUGAACCCGUGGUUUUGGUGUCUGAGAAGAUGCAGCUUCUCCAGUCUCUGCAACUGACGGCAGGAAGAUGGGAGCACUCAGCUUCAGUGUUCAGAAGCAGAUUUAGGCCAAUUGCCAUACCUUACGUUCUGGAGGGAUCCACCCUGACCUGAGCAGAAGGCAUCACACACAUUCCCAAGCAGCAUGGUUCCCGUGAGAAACUGAAAACUAAUUUCUUGAAUCUACAAUGCGACUUCCAUCUUCCAGGUGUAACCAGAGUUUUUCCUGGAGCGAUUCCAGCUUGUUUCCUUUUGGUGCCUUCCUUAAGAAAUUUUGCAGCUGUUUCUGGUGCAGUUUUUGGGUGGGCUCUGGGGUGGGCAGACGAUCUCCACUUUGCAGAGGCUGCUCUUGUGAGUGGAGCUGGUGGUGAGGGAGUAGGAGAGGCCUCGCAUCAUCCUGGCAUUCAGGCCCUUAGCCAUGGAGAAGGACUUGAGGUGGCUUCUUAAGGUACUGGGGAGCGGGAGCUUGUCCACCAGAUGCACAGGUGUGCAGGACACGAUGGUGCGGCAGCAGAGGUCUUGCAAGCUCAGUACCUUGCUCGGCCUCCCGAGCCAAUUCAUCCUGUGCCGCAGCAGCACUAUCCUGGCCAGCUCCGUGAAAGACUCUAUGAUGUUGAAAUUGCACAGAGGGCUGACCUCAAAGAAGGUCACACCCAGGCGCUCGGCGUAGGCCUGGGCCUGCUCCCUGGGCACCUGCCUCUUGAAUGCCAGAUGUAGGCGAUUCCCCACCAGGAUUUUAGGGACACCAGGGGCAUGUUCCUCAAUCUUCUUAAUCCAUCGAUCCAUACCCUCGAAAGACCAGCGGUUUGCAAUGU
This 1821-nucleotide long non-coding RNA is filed under the name Homo sapiens (human). Its description in RNAcentral is "HSALNT0408337". The record is from RNAcentral. Lineage: Eukaryota; Metazoa; Chordata; Mammalia; Primates; Hominidae.